RNAcentral lists this long non-coding RNA (489 nucleotides) under Brachypodium distachyon (stiff brome). Its description in RNAcentral is "long non-coding RNA (BDIS_LNC002575)". Lineage: Eukaryota; Viridiplantae; Streptophyta; Magnoliopsida; Poales; Poaceae. The record is from RNAcentral.
UGUUGAUCGUAGUCGUAGCCUUCUCAACCUCGAGUAUUUGUGCUGGUCGGACCUAGAGCAGCUGAGCAAGGGGUCUUCCGGUGGUCAGCUUUGUGUUCCAUGGGCUUCUUGUCCUUCUUUUCUGCUGAUUUUAUAUCCAACUCAUCUCCGCCUGGAUUCAAUUGUUAAUGUAGAAAUUCAUUGGCUUCAUUUUGCUUCGAUGAAAAGAAAAGGCCACACUAAGCCACAGGAAAAUAAAAAAAAUCGAAAAGGAGAAUAACCCGCAGACACAAUCGGCGUCUAAUAUUGUUGACUGAGAAAAUACUAGCACAAUACCCUUGCGUUACUGCGGAAUAAAACAAUAUAUGUUUAAAGAUAAUAUUGUAACACCAUGCAUUAUGGUAGAUCAUAUAAUCCACAUUCGUUUCCAUGUGAAUGAUUUACGCCAAGUCAACAUGUGUCGGAAAAUGAAGUUAUGUUGUCCAAAGGUACAUACAAACCAACUUAAAA